This 778-nucleotide ribosomal RNA is filed under the name uncultured Neocallimastigales. Its description in RNAcentral is "partial large subunit ribosomal RNA". It matches the Rfam family "Eukaryotic large subunit ribosomal RNA", at positions 26 to 621 of the family's 3401-position model. Lineage: Eukaryota; Fungi; Neocallimastigomycota; Neocallimastigomycetes; Neocallimastigales. The record is from RNAcentral.
CGUCUAUAUACGUAUAGCAUAUCAAUAAGCGGAGGAAAAGAAACUAACAAGGAUUCCCCUAGUAACGGCGAGUGAAGCGGGAAGAGCUCAAAUUUGAAAUCUUCAAGGGUUUCCCUUGACGAAUUGUAGUUUAAAGGAGUGUUUUCUGUUAGAGAGGUGGUAAAAGUUCUUUGGAAUAGGACAUCAUAGAGGGUGAGAAUCCCGUAUUUGAUCACUUUCUACUAACGUUGUGAUACACUUUCAAAGAGUCGGAUUGUUUGGGAAUGCAGUCCAAAAUGGGUGGUAAAUUUCAUCUAAAGCUAAAUAUUGGCGAGAGACCGAUAGCGAACAAGUACCGUGAGGGAAAGAUGAAAAGAACUUUGAAAAGAGAGUUAAGCAGUACGUGAAAUUGUCAAAAGGGAAGCGUUUGACACCAGUGUUGUUUAGUUCGAAAAUCAAUUCAAAUAGUUUGACGGAUUCUAGUAGUAUUGACUUCAUCAGCUUGCUGCUUUCUUCUCAGAAAUUAUUGAAUGCACUUUUCAGUUAACAAGUCUACAUCAAUUUCUUUUGUUGUAAAAGGGUAAGAGGAAGGUGGCUUGCGCUUCGGCUCAAGUGUUUAUAGCCUUUUAUCUCUGCAAUCGGAGAGAUUGAGGUCUGCAGCGUAGAUCCUUCGGGGUUAGAUACAUUGGUGCUAAGCUAUAGCCUUGUAUAGACAACUUGUUGACUAUGCUCAGUCAUGUAGCUUACUCGCUGAUGCUAUUUUACCUACGCUUAGGAUGUUGAUAUGCAUGACUGAUAU